Molecule: ribosomal RNA, 457 nt
Filed under: uncultured bacterium
Lineage: Bacteria
Description: bacterial SSU rRNA
Rfam family: Bacterial small subunit ribosomal RNA
Source: RNAcentral
CUGGCGGCGUGCUUAACACAUGCAAGUCAAGGGGCCCGCAAGGGUAACCGGCGAACGGGUGCGUAACACGUGAGCAAUCUGCCUCGAUGUGGGGGAUAGCCGGCCCAACGGCCGGGUAAUACCGCAUACGCUCUCUGGGUGGCAUCACUUGGAGAGGAAACAUUUUUGGCAUUGAGAGGAGCUCGCGGCCUAUCAGCUAGUUGGUGGGGUAAUGGCCUACCAAGGCUUUGACGGGUAGCUGGUCUGAGAGGAUGGCCAGCCACAUUGGGACUGAGAUACGGCCCAGACUCCUACGGGAGGCAGCAGUGGGGAAUAUUGCGCAAUGGCCGAAAGGCUGACGCAGCGACGCCGCGUGGGGAUGAAGCAUUUCGGUGUGUAAACCCCUGUUGCCCGGGACGAACAACUGGUUUUGACCAGUCUGACGGUACCGGGUGAGGAAGCACCGGCUAACUCCGUG